This 404-nucleotide ribosomal RNA is filed under the name uncultured cyanobacterium. RNAcentral's name for it is "bacterial SSU rRNA". It matches the Rfam family "Bacterial small subunit ribosomal RNA", at positions 364 to 783 of the family's 1533-position model. The record is from RNAcentral. Lineage: Bacteria; Bacillati; Cyanobacteriota.
UUCCGCAAUGGGCGAAAGCCUGACGGAGCAACGCCGCGUGAGGGAUGAAGGCCUCUGGGCUGUAAACCUCUUUUCUCAAGGAAGAAGAACUGACGGUACUUGAGGAAUAAGCCACGGCUAAUUCCGUGCCAGCAGCCGCGGUAAUACGGGAGUGGCAAGCGUUAUCCGGAAUUAUUGGGCGUAAAGCGUCCGCAGGCGGCCUCGUAAGUCUGUCGUUAAAGCGUGGAGCUUAACUCCAUUUCAGCGAUGGAAACUGUGAGGCUUGAGUGUGGUAGGGGCAGAGGGAAUUCCCGGUGUAGCGGUGAAAUGCGUAGAUAUCGGGAAGAACACCAGUGGCGAAGGCGCUCUGCUGGGCCAUAACUGACGCUCAUGGACGAAAGCCAGGGGAGCGAAAGGGAUUAGAU